Molecule: ribosomal RNA, 434 nt
Filed under: uncultured bacterium
Lineage: Bacteria
Description: partial 16S ribosomal RNA
Rfam family: Bacterial small subunit ribosomal RNA
Source: RNAcentral
AGCGAACGCUGGCGGCAGGCCUAACACAUGCAAGUCGAACGAACCUUUCGGGGUUAGUGGCGGACGGGUGAGUAACACGUGGGAACGUGCCUUUAGGUUCGGAAUAACUCAGGGAAACUUGUGCUAAUACCGAAUGUGCCCUUCGGGGGAAAGAUUUAUCGCCUUUAGAGCGGCCCGCGUCUGAUUAGCUAGUUGGUUGAGGUAAUGGCUCACCAAGGCGACGAUCAGUAGCUGGUCUGAGAGGAUGCUCAGCCACAUUGGGACUGAGACACGUCCCAAACUCUUACGAGAGGCAGCAGUGGGGAAUCUUGGGCAACGUGUGAAAGCCUUACACUGCAGGGCAGCGUGGAUGGUGAAGGUCAUAGGAUUGUAAAAUUAUUGCUACGGUGAAGAUAAUGAGGUGACCCGGUGAAGAAGCCACGGCUAAAUACGUG